RNAcentral lists this transfer RNA (75 nucleotides) under Candidatus Poribacteria bacterium. RNAcentral's name for it is "tRNA-Lys". It matches the Rfam family "tRNA". Rfam says of the family: Transfer RNA (tRNA) molecules are approximately 80 nucleotides in length. Their secondary structure includes four short double-helical elements and three loops (D, anti-codon, and T loops). Further hydrogen bonds mediate the characteristic L-shaped molecular structure. tRNAs have two regions of fundamental functional importance: the anti-codon, which is responsible for specific mRNA codon recognition, and the 3' end, to which the tRNAs corresponding amino acid is attached (by aminoacyl-tRNA synthetases). tRNAs cope with the degeneracy of the genetic code in two manners: having more than one tRNA (with a specific anti-codon) for a particular amino acid; and 'wobble' base-pairing, i.e. permitting non-standard base-pairing at the 3rd anti-codon position. The record is from RNAcentral. Lineage: Bacteria; Candidatus Poribacteria.
GACCCGUUAGCUCAGGGGUAGAGCACCGGACUUUUAAUCCGGGGGUCCUGGGUUCAAAUCCCAGACGGGUCACCA